Carassius gibelio (silver crucian carp) is the source of this 2062-nucleotide long non-coding RNA. RefSeq lists it as uncharacterized. Lineage: Eukaryota; Metazoa; Chordata; Actinopteri; Cypriniformes; Cyprinidae. The transcript is spliced from 2 exons. The record is from RefSeq and is a predicted model, not a curated record.
GGUGCUGGUAAUAUAAUUAAAAUAUCAUCAAAAAGUUGAUUUAUUUCAGUAAUUCCAUUCAAAAAGUGAAACUUGUAUAUUAUAUUCAUUCAUUACACACAGACUGAUAUAUUUCAAAUGUUUAUUUCUUUUAAUUUUGAUUAUUAUAACUGACAACUAAGGAAAAUCCCAAAUUCAGUAUCUCAGAAAAUUAGAAUAUUACUUAAAACCAAUACAAAGAAAGGAUUUUUAGAAAUCUUGGCCAAAUGAAAAGUAUGAACAUGAAAAUUAUGAGCAUGUAAAGCACUCAGUACUUAGUUGGGGCUCCUUUUGCCUGCAUUUUUGCAGCAAUGCGGCGUGGCAUGGAGUCGGUCUGUCUGUGGCAAUGCUCAGUUGUUAUGAGAGCCCAGGUUGCUCUGUAGUGAUGGGUCGUUCGCGAAAGCCGACUCUAAGAGCCGGCUCUUGUAGGUGAACGACGGGAGCUGGCUCGCAUAUCUGAAGAGCCGACUCCAUUUAAAAAAAAAUAUAUAUAUUGCCUAUAGAAAUUAAAUCAUUAUGUAAUAAUGAAAUAAUGGAUGCAUUUUAUUUUAUUUAAAAUAAUUGACUAAUUCAAAGAACAAAAAAUAUAUAUUUCAACUGUCUGAUCAGCCUCACAUUCUGUUCCUGUCAAUCAUACACGAGGUUUCAACCAAUUAUACGGCAUGAGGGAGGGGCCGAGUCAUCACACACACACACACACACACACACACACACACCACACACAGUGUCAAACUCAGAGGAGAGGAGAGGAAAAACACAACAGCUUUUGAAAACAAAACAAAAGCAGGAAAAUGAGUCGGAAGCACAGCCGAAUUUGGAAUCAUUGUAAUGAUCAUCAGCCCCUCGAAAGUAAGGCAGCUUGCAUUUCUGAAUGCAUAUUUCUCAUAAAAUAAAAAUAUGAUCAGCAUUGUGUGUGUAUGUGUUCAUGCUAGUUAUACAAAACUGAGAUAGUCUAUGCUGACUAUAUAACACGCCAAAAAAGAGGGACCAGUUUAAUCCUUUUUUAAUCCAGUUUUAAUCCCUGAUAGUGGCCUUCAGCUCUUCUGCAUUCAACCAGGGGCGGGUCUACGUGGUGGCGGUGCCCCCCCUGAAAUUCGAUUGGCCACCCCAGGUGCCCCCCCUAUAAGAUGUCUUGUGAUUGGUUCAUUCUAUGGCCAAUCAUUUUAUAGAAUCUACUGAAGUCAGCGAUUCAAAGAAGUGCAGCGUCGACAGAAGGUGCGUUCCGUUCGACCGUAAGUGUACUGCGAAGUGGACUUCACAGGGUAUUCCGCCAUCUUAAGUGAGAUUCCAAUCGGAAGGGAGCGAUGUUCAGUUCGAAGGGCACUACGCACGGCACAGGGAAUAAGGGAACAUCGAUACAUCACUUCACAGGAAGUGGAGAGCGAUUAUCCCCCAACUGUCAUUGCGCGAAGCACGUCAUUACCAGUCAGAACGGCCGUCUUCGCUGACUUCAUUCAUAUUCAUUACGGAUUGUAAAAAGGGCGUACCAAAUGAGCAGUUAUUGCCAGUGAAGUCCACUUCAACUGAUAUACCGUGCUCAGGGAGUAGGGAGCAGUGAACACUGCGUAGGGACCCUGUCGAAUGGAACGCACCUAGAGACACUAAUGAUGGGAAGUUUGGAUCAUUAUACUGACCCUGACUUUUGAGUCACGUUCAGCAAAAUGAACGAAUCUUUUUUUGAGUAAUUUCGUUCAUUUUAGCAAAAUGUAAUUAAAAUGUUACGUGUUUCUUCCCCAACACAUCUAGUAACGUUACUUAAGCAAACGUUGAUCACACUACAAACAAUACAAAACUAAAAUGCUAUAAAGAUACAGAAAAGAUUAAUUAAUUAUUUACCUGGGUCUUCAGUCUGUGAUUAACUCACCUCUUGUCUGACAAGUCUUCAGCUUCAAAUCAUUCCUUAAUCACAUGACAGAUCCAUGCGCUAUUUCUGACAUUUCUGACAUUUGUCACUGUUUUUGUUACUGUUUCUUCUGGAUCUGUGGUGUUAUUAUUUUAUGAAUAAAUAAAACCUUGUUAUAAAUAAAAUAUUGAUUAAUUUGUC